Molecule: ribosomal RNA, 497 nt
Filed under: uncultured bacterium
Lineage: Bacteria
Description: partial 16S ribosomal RNA
Rfam family: Bacterial small subunit ribosomal RNA
Source: RNAcentral
GAUGAACGCUGGCGGCGUGCCUAAUACAUGCAAGUCGAGCGAACGGGCGCGGAGCUUGCUUUUUUCAUGUUAGCCGCGGACGUGAGUGUCACAUGUGUAUCACCUCCUUAUCUUUCUGGUAUCUCUUCGGGAAACCGGAUCUAAUCCCGUAUAAUCUUUUGCACCGCAUUGUUCAUUAGUGAAAUACGGUCUUUCUGUCUCUUAUCGCUGCAUCUGCGCUGCAUUAGCUAGUUGUUAAGGUAACGGCUUACCAAGGCAACGAUGCAUAGCCGACCUGAGAGGGUGAUCGGCCACACUGGAACGGAGACACGGUCCAGACUCCUACGGGAGGCAGCAGUAGGGAAUGGGCCGCAAUGGGCGAAAGCAUGACGGAGCAACGGCGCGUGAGUGAUGAAGGUCUUCGGAUCGUAAAAAUCGGUUAUUAGGGAAGAACAUAUGUGUAAGUAACUGUGCACAUAUUGACGGUACCUAAUCAGAAAGCCACGGCUAACUACGUG